Molecule: long non-coding RNA, 515 nt
Organism: Stomoxys calcitrans (stable fly)
Lineage: Eukaryota; Metazoa; Arthropoda; Insecta; Diptera; Muscidae
Exons: 3
Source: RefSeq, a predicted model, not a curated record
UUCAUUUGGAAGAAAAAUGAAUAUCUCUUUUCUGAUUAAAUAAUACCCACAAGAGAACAAAACGUCGUACAAACGAACGAGAAAAAAAUCGAAGGCAGCGCUAAUAUCAACAGCAUGGUACCACAAUGGGUAAGACUGGCCUCCGAAUAAACUCAUCUUUGGUGGGCAACGCAAUCAACCUAGCCAAAAUCUAACUUACUACCAAAGAAAAGAAACCCCGAAAAUUUGUAUGUGUGGACUUCCGAGCUUCCUUCAGUAAUAACAUAAUCUUUUCAAGGUUCCCCUAUAGAAUUUUCAUCAUUCUUCCGUUUAACAAUACCGCAGUGAUAUAUGGUAGCUUGUUGUCCACGCUCUUAACUCGAAUUGCAUGGCUUUGCCUUCGUCCUGUUUGUUGAAGUCAGUCAACUGGCCCCUACAUCCAAGUCAUCUGCCCUCUGGUUCUCCCUUAUUUCGCUAUGGUUCGGCACCCAAACGGAUCGUGUCAUCUUCGGAACAGACCUUAAGCUGAUUUGUGU